CCCGCUGAACUUAAGCAUAUCAUUAAGCGGAGGAAAAGAAACUAACAAGGAUGCCCCCAGUAACUGCGAGUGAAGCGGGCAAAGCUCAACCUGAAAAUCGGGCGUUUCUCAACGUUCGAAUUGUGGGCUAGAGACACGUUGCCAGUGUGUGACCCAGGUAUAAGUCCUUUGGAAAAAGGCAUCAUAGAGGGUGAGAAUCCCGUCUUUGACCUGGCGAGCCACGUCCGGUGCGUGUUCACAAAGUCGAGUUGCUUGGGAUUGCAGCUCUAAUCGGGUGGUAAAUCUCAUCUAAAGCUAAAUAUCGACGAGAGACCGAUAGCGAACAAGUACCGUGAGGGAAAGAUGAAAAGAACUUUGAAAAGAGAGUUAAAAAGUACUUGAAAUUGUUAAGAGGGAAGCACUGGAAACCAGUCGUGCCUGAUAGGUUAUUACUGGAAGCCUGUUGAGAAAGGCUGUUGCAGAUCGCAAGACUGCAGCGGUUUUUGUAGGCAGGUGUCUGGGUCCUAAUCUGUUGGGUGUGUCAGAAUCAAUUCGGUCUGUGGGAGAAAGCUUUCGGGAAGGUAGGGUCGCGAGCUUCGGUUCAACACCUGUUAUAGACCGGGAGUGCUACCAUGGGCUGGAUUGAGGGCUCACAAUAUUCAGGUACCGCUGGACUCUUGGCUCUGAUGCGCCCAGCUGCUUGCGAUGACAAAGUCAUACUGGUGGCGAAGUGUGUUACUGGCUGGGAUGUGAAGGUGGUGCCGGGAUUCUGACGAAAUGGUUUUCAUUGACCCGUCUUGAAACACGG
This 787-nucleotide ribosomal RNA is filed under the name uncultured fungus. RNAcentral's name for it is "eukaryotic LSU rRNA". It matches the Rfam family "Eukaryotic large subunit ribosomal RNA", at positions 24 to 664 of the family's 3401-position model. Lineage: Eukaryota; Fungi. The record is from RNAcentral.